This 494-nucleotide ribosomal RNA is filed under the name uncultured bacterium. RNAcentral describes it as "partial 16S ribosomal RNA". It matches the Rfam family "Bacterial small subunit ribosomal RNA", at positions 28 to 507 of the family's 1533-position model. The record is from RNAcentral.
GACGAACGCUGGCGGCGCGCUUAACACAUGCAAGUCGAACGGAAAGGCCUGCUUUCCCUUGUGGAUUGCGGGUACUCGAGUGGCGAACGGGUGAGUAACACGUGAGUGAUCUGCCCCCAACUUGGGUAUAAGCCUGGGAAACUGGGUCUAAUUCCCGAUAGGACUGCAGGGUGGUGCCUGUGGUGGAAAACGAUUUUCUAGUGGUUGGGGAUGAGCUCGCGGCCUAUCAGCUUGUUGGUGGGGUAAUGGCCUACCAAGGCGGCGACGGGUAGCCGGCCUGAGAGGGUGGACGGCCACAUUGGGACUGAGAUACGACCCAGACUCCUACGGGAGGCAGCAGUGGGGAAUAUUGCACAAUGGGCGGAAGCCUGAUGCAGCGACGCCGCGUGGGGGAUGACGGCCUUCGGGUUGUAAACUCCUUUCGACCGCGAGGAAGCCACCUGGUUGGAAGGGUGGUGACGGUAGUGGUAGAAGAAGCACCGGCUAACUACGUG